This 1914-nucleotide ribosomal RNA is filed under the name Enterococcus faecium. RNAcentral describes it as "partial 23S ribosomal RNA". It matches the Rfam family "Bacterial large subunit ribosomal RNA", at positions 313 to 2236 of the family's 2925-position model. Lineage: Bacteria; Bacillati; Bacillota; Bacilli; Lactobacillales; Enterococcaceae. The record is from RNAcentral.
AUGGUCGUUCUUUCAGAUAGUCGAAUGACUUGGAAAAGUCAGUCAAAGAGGGUAAAAACCCCGUAGACGAAAUGUGGAAGACACCUAGGAGGAUCCUGAGUACGGCGGAACACGAGAAAUUCCGUCGGAAUCCGGGAGGACCAUCUCCCAAGGCUAAAUACUCCCUAGUGACCGAUAGUGAACCAGUACCGUGAGGGAAAGGUGAAAAGCACCCCGGAAGGGGAGUGAAAUAGAACCUGAAACCGUGUGCCUACAACAAGUCAAAGCCCGUUAAUGGGUGAUGGCGUGCCUUUUGUAGAAUGAACCGGCGAGUUACGAUUGCAUGCGAGGUUAAGUUGAAGAGACGGAGCCGCAGCGAAAGCGAGUCUGAAUAGGGCGUUUGAGUAUGUAGUCGUAGACCCGAAACCAUGUGAUCUACCCAUGUCCAGGUUGAAGGUGCGGUAAAACGCACUGGAGGACCGAACCCACGUACGUUGAAAAGUGCGGGGAUGAGGUGUGGGUAGCGGAGAAAUUCCAAACGAACUUGGAGAUAGCUGGUUCUCUCCGAAAUAGCUUUAGGGCUAGCCUCGGAAUUGAGAAUGAUGGAGGUAGAGCACUGUUUGGACUAGGGGCCCAUCUCGGGUUACCGAAUUCAGAUAAACUCCGAAUGCCAUUCAUUCAUAUCCGGGAGUCAGACUGUGAGUGAUAAGAUCCAUAGUCGAAAGGGAAACAGCCCAGACCACCAGCUAAGGUCCCAAAAUAUAUGUUAAGUGGAAAAGGAUGUGGGGUUGCACAGACAACUAGGAUGUUGGCUUAGAAGCAGCCACCAUUUAAAGAGUGCGUAAUAGCUCACUAGUCGAGUGACCCUGCGCCGAAAAUGUACCGGGGCUAAACAUAUUACCGAAGCUGUGGAGUACACCUUUAGGUGUAUUGGUAGGAGAGCGUUCUAAGGGCGUCGAAGGCAGAUCGUGAGGACUGCUGGAGCGCUUAGAAGUGAGAAUGCCGGUAUGAGUAGCGAAAGACAGGUGAGAAUCCUGUCCACCGAAUGACUAAGGUUUCCUGGGGAAGGCUCGUCCGCCCAGGGUUAGUCGGGACCUAAGCCGAGGCCGAUAGGCGUAGGCGAUGGAUAACAGGUUGAUAUUCCUGUACCCGUUGUUUUUGUUUGAGCAAUGGAGGGACGCAGGAGGCUAAGGAAUGCAGACGAUCGGAAAUGUCUGUCCAAGCAGUAAGUCUGAAGAGGAGUCAAAUGCUUCUUUUCUUAAGGACAAGCUGUGAUGGGGAGGGAAAUAAUAGUACCGAAGUUCCUGAUGUCACACUGCCGAGAAAAGCUUCUAGUGAGAAAACAGCGGCCCGUACCGCAAACCGACACAGGUAGUCGAGGAGAGAAUCCUAAGGUGAGCGAGAGAACUCUCGUUAAGGAACUCGGCAAAAUGACCCCGUAACUUCGGGAGAAGGGGUGCUGAUCAUACGAUCAGCCGCAGUGAAUAGGCCCAAGCGACUGUUUAUCAAAAACACAGGUCUCUGCAAAAUCGUAAGAUGAAGUAUAGGGGCUGACGCCUGCCCGGUGCUGGAAGGUUAAGAGGAGUGCUUAGCGCAAGCGAAGGUACGAAUUGAAGCCCCAGUAAACGGCGGCCGUAACUAUAACGGUCCUAAGGUAGCGAAAUUCCUUGUCGGGUAAGUUCCGACCCGCACGAAAGGCGUAACGAUUUGGGCACUGUCUCAACGAGAGACUCGGUGAAAUUUUAGUACCUGUGAAGAUGCAGGUUACCCGCGACAGGACGGAAAGACCCCAUGGAGCUUUACUGUAGUUUGAUAUUGAGUGUCUGUACCGCAUGUACAGGAUAGGUAGGAGCCGUAGAAAUCGGAACGCUAGUUUCGAUGGAGGCGCUGGUGGGAUACUACCCCUGCGUUAUGGCCACUCUAACCCGCACCACU